RNAcentral lists this ribosomal RNA (460 nucleotides) under uncultured bacterium. RNAcentral's name for it is "bacterial SSU rRNA". It matches the Rfam family "Bacterial small subunit ribosomal RNA", at positions 28 to 507 of the family's 1533-position model. The record is from RNAcentral.
GAUGAACGUUGGCGGUGUGCCUAAUACAUGCAAGUCGAACGGAGACUGUAGCAAUACUGUCUUAGUGGCGAACGGGUGAGUAACGCGUUGGUGAUCUGCCUCGAAGUGUGGAAUAACCUCCCGAAAGGGAAGCUAAUACCGCAUAGUCUCUCAAGGUUUAGAAAAUUGAGAGUAAAGGAUUUAUUCGCUUCGAGAGGAGCCUGCGUCCCAUCAGCUAGUUGGUAGGGUAACGGCCUACCAAGGCAAUGACGGGUAGGGGACCUGAGAGGGUGGCCCCCCACAAUGGAACUGAAACACGGUCCAUACACCUACGGGUGGCAGCAGUAGGGAAUAUUGCACAAUGGAGGGAACUCUGAUGCAGCGACGCCGCGUGAGUGAAGAAGGUCUUCGGAUCGUAAAACUCUGUCCUUGGUGAAGAAAAGGACGGUAGCCAAGGGAGGAAGCCCCGGCUAACUACGUG